GACGAACGCUGGCGGCGUGCUUAACACAUGCAAGUCGAACGGAAAGGCCCUGCUUUUGUGGGGUGCUCGAGUGGCGAACGGGUGAGUAACACGUGAGUAACCUGCCCUUGACUUUGGGAUAACUUCAGGAAACUGGGGCUAAUACCGGAUAGGAGCUCCUGCUGCAUGGUGGGGGUUGGAAAGUUUCGGUGGUUGGGGAUGGACUCGCGGCUUAUCAGCUUGUUGGUGGGGUAGUGGCUUACCAAGGCGUUGAGGGGUAGCCGGCCUGGGCGGGUGGACGGCCACAUGGGGACUGAGAGACGGCCCAGACUCCGACGGGAGGCAGCAGUGGGGAAGAUUGCACAAUGGGCGCAAGCCUGAUGCAGCGACGCCGCGUGGGGGAUGACGGCCUUCGGGUUGUAAACUCCUGUCGCUAGGGACGAAGCGCAAGUGACGGUACCUGGAGAAGAAGCACCGGCUAACUACGUG
Molecule: ribosomal RNA, 468 nt
Filed under: uncultured bacterium
Lineage: Bacteria
Description: partial 16S ribosomal RNA
Rfam family: Bacterial small subunit ribosomal RNA
Source: RNAcentral